GACGAACGCUGGCGGCGUGCUUAACACAUGCAAGUCGUACGGUAAGGCCCUUUCGGGGGUACACGAGUGGCGAACGGGUGAGUAACACGUGAGUAACCUGCCCACAACUUUGGGAUAACGCUAGGAAACUGGUGCUAAUACUGGAUAUGUGCUCCUGCUGCAUGGUGGGGGUUGGAAAGCUCCGGCGGUUGUGGAUGGACUCGCGGCCUAUCAGCUUGUUGGUGGGGUAGUGGCCUACCAAGGCGGCCACGGGUAGCCGGCCUGAGAGGGUGACCGGCCACAUUGGGACUGAGAUACGGCCCAGACUCCUACGGGAGGCAGCAGUGGGGAAUAUUGCACAAUGGGCGCAAGCCUGAUGCAGCAACGCCGCGUGCGGGAUGACGGCCUUCGGGUUGUAAACCGCUUUCAGCAGGGACGAAGCUUUUUGUGACGGUACCUGCAGAAGAAGCACCGGCUAACUACGUG
Molecule: ribosomal RNA, 465 nt
Filed under: uncultured bacterium
Lineage: Bacteria
Description: partial 16S ribosomal RNA
Rfam family: Bacterial small subunit ribosomal RNA
Source: RNAcentral